RNAcentral lists this small nuclear RNA (103 nucleotides) under Saimiriine gammaherpesvirus 2 (Herpesvirus saimiri). The record is from RNAcentral. Lineage: Duplodnaviria; Heunggongvirae; Peploviricota; Herviviricetes; Herpesvirales; Orthoherpesviridae.
UGGCCCUGGUUUGGGCUACCCCAGAGCCUCCAAAAAUUAACUGAAUUUGAAACUGUUAGCCACUCUUGCUGAGAGGUUAUUUGUUAAGUUUAAGAAAAAAUAA